This 585-nucleotide ribosomal RNA is filed under the name uncultured bacterium. RNAcentral's name for it is "bacterial SSU rRNA". It matches the Rfam family "Bacterial small subunit ribosomal RNA", at positions 338 to 916 of the family's 1533-position model. The record is from RNAcentral.
CCUACGGGAGGCAGCAGUGGGGAAUUUUGGACAAUGGGCGCAAGCCUGAUCCAGCCAUGCCGCGUGCGGGAAGAAGGCCUUCGGGUUGUAAACCGCUUUUGUUCGGGAAGAAAUUGACUGGGCUAAUACCCCGGUUAGAUGACGGUACCGGAAGAAUAAGCACCGGCUAACUACGUGCCAGCAGCCGCGGUAAUACGUAGGGUGCGAGCGUUAAUCGGAAUUACUGGGCGUAAAGCGUGCGCAGGCGGUUUCGCAAGUCAGAUGUGAAAGCCCCGGGCUCAACCUGGGAACUGCAUUUGAAACUACGAAGCUAGAGUGUGUCAGAGGGGGGUAGAAUUCCACGUGUAGCAGUGAAAUGCGUAGAGAUGUGGAGGAAUACCAAUGGCGAAGGCAGCCCCCUGGGAUAACACUGACGCUCAUGCACGAAAGCGUGGGGAGCAAACAGGAUUAGAUACCCUGGUAGUCCACGCCCUAAACGAUGUCAACUAGUUGUCGGGGAAGCAAUUCCUUGGUAACGCAGCUAACGCGUGAAGUUGACCGCCUGGGGAGUACGGUCGCAAGAUUAAAACUCAAAGGAAUUGACGG